CUCCGGCAGACCCUCUCUCCCAGACCCUCCUACUUCCUGGACAGCAUUAAAGCUUCAACAUGGAUGCAGUCCAGGAAGUAGGAGGGUCUGGGAGGGAGGGUCUGCCGGAG
This is a non-coding RNA of Pelobates cultripes (western spadefoot toad), 110 nucleotides long. The record is from the annotation of a GenBank genome assembly. Lineage: Eukaryota; Metazoa; Chordata; Amphibia; Anura; Pelobatidae.